This 484-nucleotide ribosomal RNA is filed under the name uncultured bacterium. RNAcentral describes it as "partial 16S ribosomal RNA". It matches the Rfam family "Bacterial small subunit ribosomal RNA", at positions 30 to 507 of the family's 1533-position model. The record is from RNAcentral.
AUUGAACGCUGGCGGCAGGCCUAACGCAUGCAAGUCGAGCGGAUGAAGGGAGCUUGCUCCUGGAUUCAGCGGCGGACGGGUGAGUAAUGCCUAGGAAUCUGCCUGGUAGUGGGGGAUAACGUCCGGAAACGGGCGCUAAUACCGCAUACGUCCUGAGGGAGAAAGUGGGGGAUCUUCGGACCUCACGCUAUCAGAUGAGCCUAGGUCGGAUUAGCUAGUUGGUGGGGUAAAGGCCUACCAAGGCGACGAUCCGUAACUGGUCUGAGAGGAUGAUCAGUCACACUGGAACUGAGACACGGUCCAGGCUCCUACGGGAGGCAGCAGUGGGGAAUAUUGGACAAUGGGCGAAAGCCUGAUCCAGCCAUGCCGCGUGUGUGAAGAAGGUCUUCGGAUUGUAAAGCACUUUAAGUUGGGAGGAAGGGCAGUAAGUUAAUACCUUGCUGUUUUGACGUUACCAACAGAAUAAGCACCGGCUAACUUCGUG